This is a non-coding RNA of Zootermopsis nevadensis, 416 nucleotides long. Lineage: Eukaryota; Metazoa; Arthropoda; Insecta; Blattodea; Termopsidae. The record is from RefSeq and is a predicted model, not a curated record.
AACACAGAAUUGUAUCCAGAUAGUACAGCUACACUGCAACAUAUCAUCUCUUAUCAAAAUUCGUUAUGUCUAGACAAUUGAAGAUCUAUGUCAGCAGAUUUUCGACCAUUAAUUUAAUAACACUUUAUUCCAGACGACAUUUCGAGGAGUAGCAAGAUUUGUAAAGUCACACUUACUCCUGUUAUUACUUAAGUACCCCGCCAUUACGACGUAUGAAGGAGGUGUGACUGGACCAAGACUUUGACCACGACACUAAAUGAAGGUUUAUCCAAGUAAGGGGUAAAAUUCUUAUUUCGAAGAGCGUGAGAGAAAUAGCACGCACAUCUGCAACACGCCGUCAUAGCUGCUCCCGACAAUAACAACAUACAGGCGUGUACGCUGUUGUUCUUUGCACAUAAUAGACUACAAGUUUCCUU